This 905-nucleotide long non-coding RNA is filed under the name Gouania willdenowi (blunt-snouted clingfish). RNAcentral describes it as "lncRNA (ENSGWIG00000014817.1)". The record is from RNAcentral. Lineage: Eukaryota; Metazoa; Chordata; Actinopteri; Blenniiformes; Gobiesocidae.
AGUAGAAGAAGUAGCCGUUGUUUACAACAUGGCAGCGACGGCGAGACUGUGUGUCUACUUCUCCUAUUUCUCCUUGAGGAAGAGGAAAUUUGUUGUCGUUUGUUACUACUGAGACGGAAAAGAAACCAAAGGUGGUCGACUCUUCCUUUAAAUCGUAGGAGCCAACCUUCCAGGAACUACAGUCCCUGUACCACAUGUGUUCCUGGCUGAUGCUGCAUUUCCUCUUCAACAAAACCUGAUGCGGGAAUUAACUGCGGUCAAAUCAGCCGCACGUUGUUUUCUUGUGCGCGAAUACACUAACACUUACGCAGCUCUGCAGGGCGCUCAUUGUGAUUACCGUAAGUGUUAGUGUAUUCGUGCACAAGAAAACAACGUGCGGCUGAUUUGACCAGGCAAACGCGAACCACGGCUGGCUUGACCGCAAUGGGAAACCCCAGGAAAAAACCUCAGCGAUGCCCAGCAAAUCUACAACUACCAUCAUUAACGUGCCAAGAGGGUGAUAGAGAACAGCUUCAACAUCCUGGGACGACCGAUGGAAUUCCACCCACAGAAAACUGAAGGCCUGUGUAGGCCUGCACAAUUAUUUAAGCAGCACAGAUGCUACCAACUCCCCAGCAACUAGUUCCAUCCCUCCCAGAUUCACAGACUUCUCUACACACGCAGGGGUGAUCCUGUGAGUGGAGGGCAGUGGGAGCAGGCCACAACAACUUGUUGGACAUUGGCUGUCUCAGCAAAGCACGAGCUAGAUCUCAGGUCAUUGUUCCUGACACCACAGGGUUUUGUUCCCUGGCAGGAGAAUGUAAUCAGAAGGUAUGCUGAACAAGAAUGAAGAAAAUACAGGACUGCAGUGAAUUAGAAAUACAAAACUGUUUUUAUUGCAACACACUAACAAAUAAAAAAAAAAA